AACGAACGCUGGCGGCAUGCCUAACACAUGCAAGUCGAACGAGACCUUCGGGUCUAGUGGCGCACGGGUGCGUAACGCGUGGGAACCUGCCCUUAGGUUCGGAAUAACUCCCCGAAAGGGGUGCUAAUACCGGAUAAUGUUUUCGGACCAAAGAUUUAUCGCCUUUGGACGGGCCCGCGUUGGUUUAGCUAGUUGGUAGGGUACAAGCCUACCAAGGCGACGAUCCAUAGCUGGUCUGAGAGGAUGAUCAGCCACACUGGGACUGAGACACGGCCCAGACUCCUACGGGAGGCAGCAGUGGGGAAUAUUGGACGAUGGGCGAAAGCCUGAUCCAGCAAUGCCGCGUGAGUGAUGAAGGCCUUAGGGUUGUAAAGCUCUUUUACCCGGGAUGAUAAUGACAGUACCGGGAGAAUAAGCUCCGGCUAACUCCGUG
This 433-nucleotide ribosomal RNA is filed under the name uncultured bacterium. Its description in RNAcentral is "partial 16S ribosomal RNA". It matches the Rfam family "Bacterial small subunit ribosomal RNA", at positions 29 to 507 of the family's 1533-position model. The record is from RNAcentral.